This 547-nucleotide ribosomal RNA is filed under the name Eusarima condensa. RNAcentral's name for it is "partial 16S ribosomal RNA". It matches the Rfam family "Bacterial large subunit ribosomal RNA", at positions 1797 to 2619 of the family's 2925-position model. Lineage: Eukaryota; Metazoa; Arthropoda; Insecta; Hemiptera; Issidae. The record is from RNAcentral.
CGCCUGUUUAACAAAAACAUGUCCUUUAGUUUUUUUUUAAGGUCUAGCCUGCUCAAUGAUGUUAAUUUAAAUAGCCGCGGUAUUUUGACUGUGCUAAGGUAGCAUAAUAAUUAGUCUUUUAAUUGAGGUCUGGAAUGAAUGGUUAAACGAGAUAUGAACUUUAUUUAAUUUAUUUUUUUGAAUUUGUUUUUUUAGUUAAAAUUCUAAAAUGUUUAAGUGGGACGACAAGACCCUAUAGAUCUUUAAAUAGGUUUAUUUUAUUUUUUUUUUGUUGUUUUUUAAUUAAUAUUAAUCUUUUUUUUGUUGGGGUGAUAGUUAAAAUUUUUAACUUUAAUUUUUUUUUUCAUUUAUUUAUGAAUUUUUGAUCUUUUUUUGAUGAUUAAAAGAUAAAGAUACCUUAGGGAUAACAGCGUAAUAUAAUUGGAUAGUUCAAAUUGAUAAUUAUGUUUGCGACCUCGAUGUUGGAUUAAAUUUUAUUUGUGGGGCAGUUUUUACAAUUUUAGGUCUGUUCGACUUUAAAAAUUUACAUGAUCUGAGUUCAGACCGG